AGUGAACGCUGGCGGCAUGCCUAAUACAUGCAAGUCGAACGGACAGAUGAUAAGCUUGUUCCUCUAACGUUGGCGACGGGCGGAUGGGUAACGCAUAGAUAGCAUUCUUCUUAUACUGGGGGAACUUCGGAAGGCAGGAUCUGCUAACAGCUAAUAUGUUCAACCGCAUGAAUCAAUGGUUCUUCGCGGCUUUCGUGACACUUAUAGCUGGUUCCGCGCCGCAUUAGCUAGUUGGUAAGGUAACGGCCUACCAAGGCAACGAUGCGUAGCCGACCUGAGAGGAUGAUCGGCCACACUGGAACUGAGACACGGUCCAGACUCCUACGGGAGGCAGCAGUAGGGAAUAUUGGGCAAUGGGCGAAAGCCUGAUGGAGCCAUGCCGCGUGAGUGAUGAAGGCCUUCGGAUUGUAAAACCCUGUUAUUAGGGAAGAAAAAAUGUGGAAGUAACUACGGACGUCUUGACGGUACCUAAUCAGAAAGCCACGGCUAACUACGUG
RNAcentral lists this ribosomal RNA (497 nucleotides) under uncultured bacterium. Its description in RNAcentral is "partial 16S ribosomal RNA". It matches the Rfam family "Bacterial small subunit ribosomal RNA", at positions 29 to 507 of the family's 1533-position model. The record is from RNAcentral.